RNAcentral lists this long non-coding RNA (14526 nucleotides) under Vigna radiata. Its description in RNAcentral is "long non-coding RNA (VRAD_LNC016931)". The record is from RNAcentral. Lineage: Eukaryota; Viridiplantae; Streptophyta; Magnoliopsida; Fabales; Fabaceae.
UGGGGUCUUAUUUUCAAGAAUACCCAGUCAUCCACCCGAAUAUUAGCUGGCCUCCUCUUCCGGUUUGCUUGCUUAACCAUCAUCUCCUGUGCCCUUGCUAAGUGAAAUCUGAGCUGCUGCAAUGCUUCAUCACGAGUUUGCAGCUCUUGGGCCACAGCUUCUACCAUCGUUUCUCCCGACACAAACCUGGUCAAAGAUGGGGGUGGUCUACCAUAAACUACUUCGAACGGAGUGCAUUUGGCCACUCCUUGGUAGCUGGUAUUAUACCAGUACUCUACUCAUGGCAAUAUCGUGUUCCAGCUCCUUGGUUGCUCCGAGCAAAAACAACGCAGGUACCCUUCAAGCACCCUAUUCAAUACUUCCGUUUGGCCAUCGGUUUCUGGAUGAUAAGAUGUACUCAUUUGUAGUUGUGUCCCCUGCAGUUUGAUCAAUUCUUUCCAAAACAAGCUGAGGAAAAGCGGGUCUCGGUCGCUGACGAUGGAUUUUGGCACACCGUGUAGUUUAACCACUUCCUUUACGAACGCUUCUGCCACGACUCUUGCGGUGUAGGGAUGUUUAAGGGGAAUAAAGUGUCCAUAUUUACUCAACCGGUCAACCACAACUAGAAUAGCAUCAUACCCUUUUGAUUUCAGCAACCUAACAAUGAAAUCCAUGUUGAUGUCCUCCCACACAGCCUGAGGCACCGACAGUGGUUGUAACAGCCCCUAAGGUGAGGAGGUUAAGUAUUUGUGUUGCUGACACACUAAGCAUUAUGCUACGAACUCUGUAAUGGCUUUCUUCAUCCCAAUCCAAUAUAGAGACUGAGCGAUUCUCUUGUAAGUGCGAUAAACACCCGAAUGGCCCCCCGUUGGGGUGGUAUGAUAUUCCGCCAUUAGUCUUGGGACCUAAUUCGAUUUAGUCGAAUUAACCAGCCUCCCCUUGUAAUGUAAUUUCCCAUUUUCCAGUGUAAAAGCUGAAUGUUUAUUCGGGUCUUUCGUACUAGUCGCUACAAUUUUUCUCAGCUCGUCGUCUUCCUCCACUUUGUUUACCACCUCCUGGAAAUCCCUCCAAUACGGCUUUACCACCGCAUUAAGCUCUUUUCUCGUCUCCUGGGUCUAGGACCCAUCGGCCUCUUCUGGCUCAUCCCUCUCCUUUCGUGAAAGUGCAUCGGCCACUCUGUUCGUGUCCCCUUUUUUGUACACGAUCUCAAAAUCGUAACCCAGUAAUUUGGCAAUCCAGUGCUGUUGGGCAGGGGUAGUUAUCCUCUAUUCCAACAAAAACCUUAAACUUUUCUAGUCAGAAUGUACCACAAAUCUCUGUCCCCUCAAGUAUGACCUCUAAUGCUGCACCGCCAUCACUACCGCCAUAAGCUCCUUCUCAUAGAUGGCUUUCCCCAAUGUCCCAUCUGAGAGGGCCUUACUGUAAUAGGUUAUCGGCCUCCUCCUCUGUGUCAGUACGACUCCCAUCCCUACCCUUGACGCAUCGCACUCGACAUGGAACGACAACGUAAACUCGGGCAAGGCAAGUACCGAAGCUGUCGUCAUUGCGAUCUUCAGUCGACCCAUUGCCUCUCGCGUCGUUUCUGUCCACCGAAAAUUUCCCUUUUUCGUCAUCUCUGUGAGUGGUCUCGCGAUCUUGCUGUAAUCCUUCACAAACCGGUGGUAGUACCCCGUGAGGCCCAAAAAUCCCCUCAACGCCUUUAUCGUCUUCGGUUCUUCCCAGUUGACUAUCGCCUCCACUUUCCCUUGGUCCAUCUCGACCCCCUUCUGUGUUAUCAGAUGCCCCAGAUACCUUAUGGAAGUUUUUCCAAACUCACUCUUCUUUCGAUUGGCUACCCACGCUUGUUUCUACAGUCGCCCCAACACCACGACUACGUGUUCCAAGUGCUUCGCCCACGACAUACUAUAGACGAGAAUGUCGUCGAAGAAGACGAGAAUGAAUUUCCUUAAGUACAGUCUGAACAACUCAUUCAUGGCGCUCUAGAAUGUUGUCGGCGCGUUGGUGAGGCUGAAGGGCAUCACCAGAAACUCAUAGUGCCCUAAGUGCGUUUUGAACGCCGUUUUCUGGACAUCCUUCUCCGCCAUUCGGAUUUGAUGGUACCCCGACUUGAGGUCCACUUUCGAGAAGUACUGCGCACCACCCAACUCGUCCAACAGUUCUUCGAUAAUGGGAAUGGGGAAUUUGUUCGGAACGGUGGUCCGAUUCAGAGCCCGGUAGUUGAUGAAGGUUGAGAAACAGUUAUUUUCAUAUGUCAAUUUGGACCAAAUUACACCCUUUACUACUCGGAAUGAGCUUAGAAUCAAGCAAAACUCAAUAAAUGAGUCUGAAGAGAGUCAAAAACUGUUUUUAGCAAUUUUAUGCUUAUUUUGCAUUGUUUUGUAGCUAAUUUGAGAAAAGUAAAGAAUGGAGUUGAAGAUGAAGGUCUUAGACUCAAGAAAAGGAAAGAAAGGUUGAAGAUAUGCAUAAAAGUUACCCAGUCAACCAGAAAAGUCAACCAGUCAACCAGGAAAAGUCAACCAGUCAACCAGAACACAGUUGACCAGCGCCAGGCGGUUGACCGUGGCGCCGGGCGGUUCUACGGCUUGAGGGAAACCGCCCGGCGGUGAAAUUGGGCGCCGGGCUGUUGUCAGAUGGGCUUGGACCUGUUUUAUGUUAUUUUUUAUGAUCUGUUUGGGCCUGGACUUGUUUUAUGUCAUUUUUAUGCCCUAUUUAAAGGCCAGAACGUCUUAGGGUUUGUAUCUUUUGACGGCUUAGGCACAGAAACACACUUUUCACCCCUUUGGGGCUAGAUUUGGAGAUGGUGACAACUCUCCUUUUCUCCUUUUUAGNNNNNNNNNNNNNNNNNNNNNNNNNNNNNNNNNNNNNNNNNNNNNNNNNNNNNNNNNNNNNNNNNNNNNNNNNNNNNNNNNNNNNNNNNNNNNNNNNNNNNNNNNNNNNNNNNNNNNNNNNNNNNNNNNNNNNNNNNNNNNNNNNNNNNNNNNNNNNNNNNNNNNNNNNNNNNNNNNNNNNNNNNNNNNNNNNNNNNNNNNNNNNNNNNNNNNNNNNNNNNNNNNNNNNNNNNNNNNNNNNNNNNNNNNNNNNNNNNNNNNNNNNNNNNNNNNNNNNNNNNNNNNNNNNNNNNNNNNNNNNNNNNNNNNNNNNNNNNNNNNNNNNNNNNNNNNNNNNNNNNNNNNNNNNNNNNNNNNNNNNNNNNNNNNNNNNNNNNNNNNNNNNNNNNNNNNNNNNNNNNNNNNNNNNNNNNNNNNNNNNNNNNNNNNNNNNNNNNNNNNNNNNNNNNNNNNNNNNNNNNNNNNNNNNNNNNNNNNNNNNNNNNNNNNNNNNNNNNNNNNNNNNNNNNNNNNNNNNNNNNNNNNNNNNNNNNNNNNNNNNNNNNNNNNNNNNNNNNNNNNNNNNNNNNNNNNNNCCAGUAGUUAAUAUUAGGCCCUUUUCGCCGAGCGAUCGGGUUAAGGAGAGGCUAAGAAAGUCGCAUAACAAUUGAAUCAAUCUAAUAUUCAAGGGUAGUAUGUAAGAGAGAGCGGAAUAGAUGAAAUUGUAAACCCCCAACAACAUCCAUUCAUCCAUUGUUUUGUGUUUAACCUCAAUUGAUCAAAUUGCAUUCAUGUUUAUCUUUCUGCACUUUAUAAAAAUCCCAAAAUAUUAUUUUUAUAAUCUUGAUUGGUUAAGCAAAAACACAACAGUUUAGUGUCGUGAGUCUCUUGGGAAAACGAUACUUGGACUUACCAUUUUAUUAUCACUUGAACGAUUUGGUACGCUUGCCAAUUUGUCAACAGUAGUCGAUACAAAACCUCCAGCUCCUGUCUUUCUUCUUCACCAGGAUUACCGGGCUUGAGUAUGGACUUAUACUGGGGCGUAUAAUUCCUGCAUGUAACAUUUCAGCCACCUGGCAUUCGAUUUCUUCCUUCAUGGCGUGGGGAUAAUGAUAGGGGCGCACGUUGAUGGGAUCUGUCCCUUCUUUUAAAAGAAUCUGGUGUUUCUCAUUUCUAUUAGGUGGCAGCUUCUGGAUUUCCCGAAAUACCCCUGGGUAUUGUUUCAGAAUUCCUUCUAUGUCCUCUUCUUUCUCCUUAUUUAAUUUCCCUUCUUCUUCUUUUCCACUAUUUCCCUCUUUACCCUCCAUACUCCAGACUAAAGCACAAGCUUCCAUUUCCUCCAAUUUUAACAAAUGCUCAGGCUCUAUCACCCUCCUCUCCAACCUCGGGUCUCUGGUUAUGGUACGCUUCUUCUCCCCUUGCCAGAACGACAUGGUGGAUUUUCCCCAGUCCACCGUGAUCUCACCCAACUUAGCCAACCACUCAACUCCGAGAAUCAUGUCUACACCCCCUAGUUCGAACAAAUAAAAUUUCUCCGUGAUCUCGACGUCCCCCAUGCAAACCACCACCCUCGGACAACACCCUCGCGUCUUCUUCCGUUGACCAUCCCCCAAGCUGACGUGAUAUGGGGAUGUGUCUUCUUGCUCGAGUUUCAGCUCCCUCACCAGCUCGUGACUAACGAAGUUGUGACUCGUGCCACUGUCCACCAGUAUCAACACCUUUCUCUCUCCCAUUCGCCCCUGCAGCUUCAAGGUUUUUUGUUGGGUCAAGCCUCCGGCAGAGAAAGCCGACAACUCCAUGCAUGGUUGUUCUGUCUCCGCCCCUGUCUCUCCUUCAUCUCCUUCUUCGUCCUCGGCCAACAACACCACCCUCAAGCUCUUCUCAGGGCAUUGGUGCCCGGGACUAAAGGUCCCCCAUAGUGGUAACAUAUACCCUCCUCCCGAGCUUCAAGAACUCAGGAUAAGGCAAGUUUCUUAAGCUCCGAUUCCGACUGUCCCCGUCGCCGUAACCUCCGCUCCUCACGGGUUCACUCCCUGUCGCCGGGUUGCGCUUCAUCGACCCAACACUCUCUGUCGGUGUCGCUCGAACCAUGCUACUCCUAGUUGCUCCGUCCUCGCCACCAUUGCUCCUCCUCCUGAUGGUCGUACCCACGCGGGGCUAGUCUUAGAUGUCGUCCAUCCCAUCAACCCUAGACCACGAAGUGCUUCCUCCACGUCACGUGCAAUCUUCAUCGCCGUCAUCAAAUCGCGGGGUUCAUGUAGUCUCAUCUGACAUCGUAACUCCUCGCGUAACCCCGCUAUGAAAUAACCCAAUAAUUGGUUAUCAGAAAACUCCUUUGUCUGCCCCGCCAAUGCUUCGAAUUCUUUCACGUACUCCUCCACGGUGGUUGUCUGCCUCAUCGUCGUCAUUCGUUCAUAAAUUCCCCUACGGUGGCGACUCUCGAAUCGGAUCAGCAAUGCUUCCUUCAACCCCUCCCAAGUUCAAUCACUCGCCUUGUCUUUCCAGAACUUGAACCAGUAAGCAAUGCUCCCCUCCAUGCUGAUAUGAGCCAAUUCGACUUUCUCCACUUCUGCUACCUUCUGAAUCUCAAAGAACUUCUCUGCUCUAUUAAUCCAAUACAGAGGAUCAGGUCCUUCGAAUAUGGGUAACUCCACUCGUCGUCUCCAAUUAGGGCUGUUGUUUGAUAGCUCUCCCUCUUUUCCCCCUCCUUCGUUCCCGCGCUGGUUCCCUCCACUAUGGUUCACUGAAUCCUGACUUUCAUCCGAGCCUGAUUCCCCUUGCCUGCUAUGCGUUCCCAUCAACUGUAACAAUUCUUGAAUGUCUUUGCGCAUCGCGAUCGAUUCUUGGCGAUUCGCUGCCGUCUCCGCCUUCAAAUCGUCGACUGCCAACUCCAGGUGCUCCAUCUUCCCCUCAACCUUGACCAUUCUCCCCUCUAUCUCUUUUGCUUUCCUCCGAUCUGAUCUGGCAGGUCGGACCACUUUGAUAGGGAUUCAGAUGAGAAUCCUAACCAACACUCGUGCCACUCACUUACUAACAGAAACACAGACUAGAAUGGGAAGAAAAGAAUGGAAUUUUAUUCUCAACAAGAAUCAAGAAUGCAAUGUACAGAGGAGCUUAACCUCCUUCACCAGUUUCAAUGACCGGUCAAACAACAAUUACAAAAAGCCACCCCCUCCUAAACACAUGAAAGGUCCUUAUAUAGACCUUUAACCCGCUCUUAACUAACUGUUAGGCAGUUAGUUUAACUGUUAGUCUGUCUUACCCGUCUCCUUUCAUACACCCUCCAAGUCCUAACACUACAUCCACUUCCUCACAUGCUUUGAUAAAUACUUAACUAAGAAAAACAUCAAGCAAAUUGAAAACAGUUCUAUCCAACAUGCUUACAUCUAUGAGUGAAAAAUGUGUUCAAAUCAACUAAAAAACUACAUUAAAAUGCUACUUUUGAGUUGAUUAAGUUGCGAACACAACAACUACAACCCAUGAACUGAAAAGCUACACAUUUCUUCCUUGAACAAUUUUGAACAGGUCAAGUUUUUUGCAUCAUUACUGACAUUUUCUUCUCCCUCGUUUCUCAUAAGUCAUUACACAAACUAUUCCUUGAUUGUGUAUUUAUAAAUUACUGGAACUUAGAAAAUUUAUGAUAGGAAACUAACUAAUUGUUACUAAUUGUCAAAACAGAAAUUUGGACAAAUUCAACCAAUUUCUUUGCCAAAAGAUAGUCUCUUCAAAAGUUGUUUGAUAAAACAACAACAAAAGUCUUAUCCCAUUAGCUGAUGUUCAGUAAAACCCUAAACAAAAAAAUAAAUUGUUGAGUUUGAGGUACAUAUCUUUCUAUUAUAUUCAUUAUAAACCAUUAAACUCCUAGGUUUCUGUCAUUAAGGAAAAUCUAUUUCUGAAAACUGGUUGUUAGUUACUCAAAAGCGUUAAAAACCAUUUUCUUAAAAUGGAUGACACCUUGUUCCUGUUUCUCUUCUUUGGUUGUACUUGUAAUUAAAUCAACAAAAUAUACUUUUACACAAGGAUGUCAUAUUUCAAUUGAAUGUAUUGUCAAAAAAUGACAGAAAAAGAGACAAAAAGGAUUCAUUUAUUUGUCCAUCUGUUAUUGAUUGUGUAAUUUAUAGGAAUUUAUAUAAUACAAUCUUCCUAAAAUCAAUGCAAAUAUAAGGUACUACAGUUUAGCUUGUGUCUGUUAACUAAUAUUAUGUAUCAAUAUCUAAUACUAACACAAUGGAAAGGAAUUUUAGCCUCCACAUAUUGAUAUAGUGGCAUUCUGGGACUACAGUAGAGACUAUAGAUCAUUGUGAAAAUAAUUGUCAACCCUCAACAUAGUUUAUCAAAAUUGAUCACCUAUGGAGAUAUUAUUAGAAAAUUGACUUUAUACCUUAUCCCGCUCUAGUUUCUGCAGAACUCUCUCUAGCUCUUUUCUCUUCUUCUUUUUCCGCUUUUCUCAGGACAACGUAAGUUGUAAAAACAAAUCUCCUUAUGGAAAAUGAAAUGACACAACUAGUGAACAUUAAUAUACCAUUGUCUUUCAUUUUCUUCAGCAACUCGCUUUGCUUUAAAGAGUCUCUUACUUGCUUGAAUCCUCUCCUGCAUGCAAAGCUAUAAAAAGGUUAUAAAAAAAUCUAUACUGGUAGGUUGGAUGUCUAACUGCAAGAGAUAAACCAAUAAAAUCACGCUACCUUUAUGAUUAGGGAAACCAACUUGUUCAGUGGAUAUAAAUUCUUUCAGAUACAAUUUGCUCACACAAUUAAAAUAGAUGAAAUAAUUGACUAUUACUUUUGGGCCAAAUAGAAAGACUUAUGUUAAUCUACAUUAGAACUUGAAUUCUAUUGGCAUAAUAUACAAAAGUGUGAGGAAUGAUUGACUUAUUAUCAGUGGAAUUCAUCCUCGUCGAUAUUUUAUCAAGACAGUUUCGUCACAUGAAUUGUCAAUUUUUAUUGAAUGUUAUGCUAAGACUAGUGAAGAGAAAGAUGUCUCUACUUUAUAAACCUCGAUCUGUAUUACUUGUAAACCUCGAUCUAUAUAGUGGAUUUGCUUUUAAUCUAAGGUUGAUUAAAAGGACAUUGGAUGUAGGCAUUGAGGACAAACCAGUAUAAACCUUAGUGUGGUUCUCUCUAUCCUUUAUCUCUUUAAUUUCUUUACAUUCUUUAUUUGCUUGUGUUCCAAGAAAGUUUUAAAGAUUUAAAAGAUUUAAAUAUUUUGAAAAAAGUUUCAAAAGAACAAUUUUUAUUAUGAAAAACCAAUUCAUCCCCCUCUUGGUUGAUAAAUAAGGCCUAUCUUUUUCUAUAGUGGUCAUCCUACGUGAAACAUUCGGAGGAGGUGUUCAUCCCUUGUGGGUUACAAGGGAAGUGAGUUUCAUCUCCUGGGUUAACAAGAGAGGUGUUUUAACCUUCAACUUGUUUAUUUUCUUUGUGAUUGUAAAAUUUUGUUGGUUUGUUCUAGUGAAGUGUUAAUUCUCGGUUGAGAUUGUGGACGUAGGAUCUCUGUGAUCUGAACUAGUAUAAAAUUACCUGUGCAACUUUCUCUCCUUAAAUUUAUUUAAAUCGCUUUAAGGUAUUUUUAUAUUUACGAGAAAAUUAUUAAAAGAAUGAUUUGCGAUAAGAAACCAAUUCACCCCCCUCUUGGUUUGUUGAAUGCGUUAACCAUUCCGCUACAUUGCUUUGUGUCAACACCAAAUUUCGUCCGGAUGAUUAAAUAAUAUAUGUUUUUUGUUUUUCUUAUUUUAUUUUAUUUUAUCUUAUUUGCAUUUUAACUUUCAUUAUUCUACUUUUAUGUUAGUUUUUUUUUUUUAUUUUUUAUUUUAGUUUUUAUUUUACUUUCUAUUAUUCUCUUUUACAUUAGUUUCUUUUUGUUGUUUAAUUUAUUUUUAUCGGUUCUCUUACUUUAAUUUUUAUGUUAAUAAAACAAAAAACCUAAGAAAAAAAAAGAAAAAAAAAGAAAAAAAAAAGAAAAAAAGAGCAAAAAAUCACAAAAGUCAACUCUGCUUUCCUUUUCGUUUUUUCACGCAUGCUAUUUCCUUUUGGUGCAAAUCUUUUGUUGUGCUAUGCAUGCACCUGCAAUCUUUUGAAAGAGGAAAUACAACAGAAUAGGGUGGCUUGGCUGGGUUGCAGGAAGCAACCAUUCCACAGGCACACCAUAUCCCCUUUUGGGUGCGAAUAUUGUGUAUGGACCGACGCUUUGAACUAGUUUAGCAUGGGAGCAUGAAAGAUGGUGGAAGAGUGGCAGAGUGAUUGCAGUCGUCUUUGGCAGAGAAAGCAAAAAAAAAAAGAAACAAAAAUGCAUCUCCAUGUUAUGAGAGGGCAGCGCGAGUAUUGAAAAAAGAGGACACUACUCUCAACUUGACCUUUCAUUCUCUACUCAACAGAAUCCACUUCGAUUGCUUCCUCUCGCCAGAAUUUUCUCUCGCACCUGCAAUAACAUUGGCAACAAGAAAUACAGACUCAGUGAAGGAAAGAAAGGGCAAACAGGGAGAAAAACGAAUUUUUUUAAGAAGAGCGAGAAAAGGGAGAACGAAUGGGGAAAAAGAAAGUCAGCCACACAGAGAAGAGAAAGUAUUGCACACAAGGUUGACAAUAGCAAACGGAUCUCCAAGAGGUACGCAAUGCCUUGCACUCCAUGUUUCACUGAGUUCUUUGCUUGCCCUUGAACAUCCUUUUGUUACGUUGCUGCUAUGCUGCUAUGUUUGCAUAUGAUUGUUGAUGAAUACAUUCCUACUAUGUGGUGGAUAUUUGUAUAUGAUAUUGUGGCCUGAGUCUUUCCCAUUCUCCAUCACUAUCCAAUCCUCAAUCAUAUUCCAUCAUAAACUUGAAACCAAUAUGUGUUCAAUCACCAUCAUCUUCACUUUCUAUAAUAAUCUCCAUUAAUCUCCAUUGUUACCGAACACCACCGUCAACCCAUAUCCACUCCUUGAUUCCUCCGCUGUCGAAUGGCUUCCUUUACGUGUUUCUACCACUAAAUAUCCCCAUUUUCGCCACUCUUGUCACACCAUGUUCAUAGGUCCUGCAUUUAAAAAAAAGGAAAAGGCCAAGUGAAUCCAAUAAUACCUCAACAUGACAACACCUUUGCCUUUUUCAAACUACGUCCAGAAAAGAAACAAAACUAAACAGAUCCCCUCAAUCUAUUCCAAGUCCUUUCCGCUGAAGCAAAAUUCCAGCAAGCCAUAAGCCAAGUUCUUACAAUCAUCGACCAUAACCACAACAAGAGGUAAUGCUAAUCAGGAAAUAAGUUCGUCUUACACCAACCUUGAAGAAUUUAAACUUUUUGAAGAAAAGCAUACGCAUUGAAGUCAAGGGGGGCAAUAUCGGUCACUUAGACCUUCAAAAAUGCAUUCAGGAAGGAGUGUGGGAGUUUGUUGAGUUGGUUAAGGGUGGAGAUCUAAACAUUAAGCAAUCUUUGCUUUGUGUUUUUCUUCCUUUUUCUUUAUCUAUGCUUGAUGUUUUGAAUAACUGCAAUAAUUGUUGUAUAUUGAACCCUAGGGUAGAAAACAUGUUAUAUCUGCCUGGGAAUCUUCUGGUUGUUUUGCAGGUGAAGGUUUGGGUGUGCAUGGCGUUCUCCCUUCACACACACACACUUUACGCAUAUCAUGAGUGGGGCCCUAUACCCGGGUCUGAGUGUAGCCUAGAAAUAGAGGGGUUGUGUAACGGUGCCAUUUGGGACAUACCUCCUGUUUGGCUAUCGUGAGAACCCCAACUAGAGUCUGUUCUCUUCAUUUGUCUCUACGCAUCUAGUUGAUCACUUGACUGUUGUGGAGAUGCUGUGGAGGGGGCCAUAGCUCUAGUGACCAUUGAUCCUUAGGCUCAGGGAACCGUCCUUGUGAGAUUUCAUAUACUUGACCUUGAAUCUAAAAUGUUGAACUGAUGAGUCGAUAUUUUAUUGAUUUCACUUAGUUUAUUGUGCUAAAAUUAAUCACGGAAUUGGGCUUAAUUGUCCGGUAUUUUCCCGUUUUUCCUAAUUAUGCUUAAUUUGACCGGAAAUUCUAAUUUUAAUUAAUUUGAAUUUUCUGAGCUAAUUAUUUGCAUUAUUAUUUUCAGGGAAAAUUUUGGAAACACAAUUUGGGACAUUUGAAGGACAAUUAGAGUUAUUUUGGGCUGAAAAGAAAUAACAAUUAGGUCAAAAGGUAGAGGAUUUAUUUUUGAGGUGCAAUUAGAAAAACAAAAUUGUAACAGAUGGCUUGUCCAGCAACUUAUGCACAUGCCACGGCCUAGCAAUGUGAAUUCAAUUCUUGAAGAAAGGAAGAAACUCACGAGCUCAAUAAAAAAGCUGGACAUCCAUUGAUUUUUUUCUACAUCCAACAAGGGCCCAUGUGCAUAUGAAAAGGUGGUGUGUCACGGAGAAGGAGGCUACAACACGUGGUGGCAGCAGAGUUACAUCCAGUUUCGCACCCAGUCCAUUUUAAAACAAAUAGAAGCAGUUGCAACCAAUUAAAUUAUUCAUCCAGCGGGCUUCUAGGCUACGUCCAGCAAACAAAGAGUUUGGAGAGGUGCUUGGAGAAAGAGUAGCUGGUGCUUCAGUUGAAUGAAAAAAAACCUGUUACGACCCAGUCCAGUACAUGAAAAGUGGAGGUGCAUCCAGCACAUUUGAAGCACACAACACACACACAUGAGGCCCAUACGAAAGGAGAGGCUUCAUAUUUUUAAGGUGUGUGCUUAGGAGAAUGGACGGUGCAUCCAGCAAGUAUUCAUUGACACAGUUCAUGGCCUGCAAAGUUGGAAGCUCACGUAGAUGGUGUCAUAGCUGGAGGGGUGCAGCGGUUGAAAUGUGCUAUUGGGCUUGCUUUAGAACACACACACAGCAGUGCAGCAACACAUGGUCUGCAUGUUGAGCAACAUCCAGCUUUGAAGCCACCACGGAGGUGCAGCGGAGCCCAUCAAAUUUUAAAUGAGGUGUCCAGAAAUUUUGGAAGCAACCCACAGCCCAUGGACAAUUUCUUAGAGUGUCUAGCAAUGCAUGGGAGAAUGAGUAUUAGGUAGGGUAUUCAAUUAGAAGGGGGUGUGCUGUCACAGGGGGCAGCCACCACUUGCUUUAGGCCAUUUUUCUUGGCAGAUUUCUAGCUUUGAACGAUGACACCACAACCUGGGGAUGAGAUUUGUUUUCAAUCAACACAUUGCAUUGUCCUUUUUAUCAUUUAACCAGUACUCUAUUGAUAAUGAUUUUCUUUGAUGAUGAGCACACGUUUCCAAUUGCUAGAAAGUUCUUUUUUUUUUUUUUUUACUUUGAGCACGCUGGCAGUAGCCACUGUUGCAUGCUAUCUACAUUUUAAAUUCAUGGUUUAGAUGGAUGCAUUUUUAUUUUUCUUGGUGAAUUCACGUGGACAUUCAUUUGGUUGGUGGAGAUUGUGCUGUCACGGUCUUGAACAGCACACGGUCAUGGCAUGCAAAGUUUACCAUUUCUUUUGCUUUAAUGNAGUAAAAAGUAGAUUAGGUAGAGUAGAUGUUGCUACGUGGUGAUGGGACGUUUUACAGCUUAGACUGGCUAGUUUCUCUUUAAUUUAUUUGGAGAGUUGGUGUGAAGAUUCAUUGUUUGGAGAAAGAGUGCAGCGUCUGUCAUGGCCAGGAGCUUAUUUUUAGGCCAUUUGAAAUUUUAAUUUCUUUAGUAGGUGCAUGUGUCAUGUGAAUUGGUAGAAGAAAAAUGGUGUUGUUUAUUUCUUUAGUUUUAAAUUAUUUUACAUUGUAUUUUGAGUUGUUCUUUGUCUUCCUAAUUUAGUGUUGCAUUUUAAUAGCUUUCACUAUGUUUAGAUAUUUAUAUAUUGCAUUGUUCAUUUUCUUUAUCUGGUCAUUAUGUUUGGUUUCUUUAUCUUUCUGCAUUUCCAAUUUCCACACUCUCUUNAGAGAUUGUUAGGUCUCAAUGUAGAACCAUUCGGUCAUCUGUAGGACCGUUCAGUCUUCAUAUUUUGUUCAUUUAUUUCAAUGUUUUCAAUUAUGUUUGAUUGUAUUUACUUUUCAGUUUUAAUUUAGUUUAAUUCUCCUUCAAUAACACUUUCAAACCCCCCCUUCAUGUCUGACCUGAUUCUCGAACCACAUUUGGUCCUUGAGAGACGACCUAGGAGUCACAUUCCUAGCUAUACUGCAUUUCUCAUAUGCAAUCAAAUUUGUACGGGCCGCGACACCCAUCAUGAACCUUCACUAGCACACAAAGGGAGAUGUGUGCAGUCCUAUAACCCUCAUUUUUGCUUAAUAAAAUCAAGCACCUUGUACAUAUCACUACAUUCUUUUUUCUUUCUUCCUUUGUUGGUCAUUGUUUUUGUCAUUUUUGUGGAUUGUAGUCAAGAACUGAUAAAGUUGUGACUACCUUAUGGUAAAAAUGGAAGUGAACAUGGGAUUUUGAGUCAAAGGGGCAUUCAAAUUUAGACUUUUUGAAGAAAAGCAUACGCAUUGAAGUCAAGGGGGCCAAUAUCGGUCACUUAGACCUUGAAAAAUGCAUUCAGGAAGGAGUGUGAGUUUGUUGAUUUGUUUAGGGGUGGAGAUCUAAACAUUAAGCAAUCUUUGCUUUAGCCCAGUACUAUGACCCAUUCCCAAUUGAUGCCAACAGUGGAGGAAUUUGAGCAGACCUUCGAUGUAUUUCUCAAGAGAAGCGCUUCCUACAACUACCUCGGUCAAUAUACCCCUGUCUCCCAGCUAGUGAGAAUCACUUUCUAUGAAGUUGGAAAACGAAUUUGUACUUAAGGGUAAAGUGAACGAUGUUCCUCAAGGAUACCUAGAGUGGUACUUGUAUUGCUUGGCUAAGGAAGAAAAAUGGGGAACACUCAUGAGUGUACUGACUCUUAUCCAACAUAAUGUCAUUCUCUUUCCUAAUACCAGGGAGUUGGUCGAUUGCGCUGCCUUGAAUGUCACAUGUCUUGUGGAGAAGCUACUACAGCGUAGACCAGAGAUCAAAGGGGCAAAUGCAUGAGCGCAACUUUAUGCAAGAUCAUGUAUUGCACACCAUUGCGGGAAUUACUGUAAUGUCCCCCUCAUGGGUAUCCAUUGUUAUGUGUGCGUCAAAAAAAAGAGAGAAAAAAAAAAAGAGAAAAAGAAAAAGAAACAAAAAAAGAAGGAAAAAAAAAACAACAAAAAAAAGACGAAAGAAAAAACAACAAAAAAAGAAGAAAAAAAUAAUUUGGGUAUCCUGUGAGAGGGUCGCCAACACCUGCACCUUUUGCCACAUUGCUGAUCUUCUGAGGAAGGAACCUUUACUGAAAUGCUUGGGGACGAUGUUGUUCGCUUCGAAGAGAGGCCCAAGAUCAUGGACUGUUAAUGAAAGAUUCCCUUAACCAAUGAAUCGCAAAAAGGGUCAAGACAAUCAAGUUGUCAUUCAAGCUAUUUUCCCCUUACCUAAAUUGUGAAAAAUAAUUGCACGAUGCUAAGCAGCGUUUGAAAGCAGUAGUGACGAAAUUGGAGAAGGAAUUUUGGCAUUGAGAAUUGAUGACUCAGAUGCAAGCGGGCAUAUUGUUGAAUAAGACCGAGUUACAAAGAAUUGGAAGAGAAGUCUCUCACAACUAGCUUCCUGUGCUAAUGGAACCAUUGAAGUCGUCCCUAAGUUAUUAGCUGAUAUUGAGUAUGUGGUGUCGGUCUUUAACCCGCUUAAGGGGAUUAAAGUUUUCCUCGUUUGCUACAAGAAACUGAUCAUAGAAAUGAAGAAGGUGAUGGCGAAGGCCCCAAGGUAGUUGCCAAGACUUCCUAUGCCUCAAAUUUUGGGAACUUGUGAAUGACGAACCAUCCUAUUGACUCUGUUUCGUGUUAAUUUCCAAAUUAUACCGGGG